Molecule: ribosomal RNA, 281 nt
Filed under: Rhipicephalus turanicus
Lineage: Eukaryota; Metazoa; Arthropoda; Arachnida; Ixodida; Ixodidae
Description: partial small subunit ribosomal RNA
Source: RNAcentral
AAUAAAAAUUAUGAAAGCAAAAAAUUAUGGCGGUAUUUUAAGCUUUUCAGAGGAAUUUGCUCUUUAAUGGAUAAAACACCUAAAUCUUACUUAAAUUUGUUAAUUCAAUCUGUAUACCACUAUAAAAACAAUUUAUAACUUUAAUUGUUUAAAUUUAUUAAAUUAAAAUAUAUUAAGUCAAGGUGCAGUAAAAAUUUAAGAAUGAAGUGAAUUACAUUACUCUUUAGAGAAAUAAAUUUAAAAUAAUAUUUAGGAUUUGAAAGUAAAAUUAAAAUAGAAUG